GUUUCUGUAGUGUAGUGGUUAUCACGUUCGCCUAACACGCGAAAGGGCCCUGGUUCGAAACCAGGCAGAAACA
Molecule: transfer RNA, 73 nt
Organism: Leptosomus discolor (cuckoo roller)
Lineage: Eukaryota; Metazoa; Chordata; Aves; Leptosomiformes; Leptosomidae
Rfam family: tRNA
About the family: Transfer RNA (tRNA) molecules are approximately 80 nucleotides in length. Their secondary structure includes four short double-helical elements and three loops (D, anti-codon, and T loops).
Source: Rfam